RNAcentral lists this ribosomal RNA (253 nucleotides) under uncultured bacterium. RNAcentral's name for it is "partial 16S ribosomal RNA". It matches the Rfam family "Bacterial small subunit ribosomal RNA", at positions 524 to 776 of the family's 1533-position model. The record is from RNAcentral.
UACGGGGGGAGCAACCGUUGUUCGGAAUCACUGGGCGUAAAGGGCGUGUAGGCGGCUGAAUAAGUGGGAUGUUAAAUCCCCCGGCUCAACCGGGGACCUGCAUCUCAUACUGUUCAGCUCGAGCACAUCAGAGGAGACUGGAAUUCCCGGUGUAGCGGUGAAAUGCGUUGAUAUCCAGCGGAACUCCGGUGGCGAAGGCGGCUCGCUGGGCCCUCUCUGACGCUGAGGCGCGAAAGCCAGGGGAGCGAACGGG